CAUGCAAGUCGAGGGGUAACAGGGUGCUUGCACCGCUGACGACCGGCGAACGGGUGCGUAACGCGUAUAGAAUCUGCCUUGUACAGGAGGAUAGCCUUUAGAAAUGAAGAUUAAUACUCCAUAGUGUAUUGAAGUGGCAUCACUUUUUUACUAAAGAUUUAUUGGUACAAGAUGACUAUGCGUCCUAUUAGCUAGAUGGUAAGGUAACGGCUUACCAUGGCUACGAUAGGUAGGGGGUCUGAGAGGACUAUCCCCCACACUGGUACUGAGACACGGACCAGACUCCUACGGGAGGCAGCAGUGAGGAAUAUUGGUCAAUGGAGGCAACUCUGAACCAGCCAUGCCGCGUGCAGGAAGACUGCCCUAUGGGUUGUAAACUGCUUUUAUACGGGAAGAAACAGUCCUACGUGUAGGACCUUGACGGUACCGUAAGAAUAAGCACCGGCUAA
This 449-nucleotide ribosomal RNA is filed under the name Tenacibaculum skagerrakense. RNAcentral describes it as "bacterial SSU rRNA". It matches the Rfam family "Bacterial small subunit ribosomal RNA", at positions 54 to 500 of the family's 1533-position model. The record is from RNAcentral. Lineage: Bacteria; Pseudomonadati; Bacteroidota; Flavobacteriia; Flavobacteriales; Flavobacteriaceae.